This 305-nucleotide ribosomal RNA is filed under the name uncultured bacterium. RNAcentral's name for it is "bacterial SSU rRNA". It matches the Rfam family "Bacterial small subunit ribosomal RNA", at positions 335 to 656 of the family's 1533-position model. The record is from RNAcentral.
CUGCCUACGGGGGGCAGCAGUCGGGAAUAUUGCGCAAUGGAGGAAACUCUGACGCAGUGACGCCGCGUAUAGGAAGAAGGUUUUCGGAUUGUAAACUAUUGUCGUUAGGGAGGAUAAAAGACUGUACCUAAGGAGGAAGCCCCGGCUAACUAUGUGCCAGCAGCCGCGGUAAUACGUAGGUGGCAAGCGUUGUCCGGAUUUACUGGGUGUAAAGGGCGUGCAGCCGGGAAGACAAGUCAGAUGUGAAAUCCCGCGGCUCAACCGCGGAACUGCAUUUGAAACUGUUUUUCUUGAGUACCGGAGAG